RNAcentral lists this ribosomal RNA (836 nucleotides) under uncultured Polaribacter sp. Its description in RNAcentral is "bacterial SSU rRNA". It matches the Rfam family "Bacterial small subunit ribosomal RNA", at positions 23 to 861 of the family's 1533-position model. The record is from RNAcentral. Lineage: Bacteria; Pseudomonadati; Bacteroidota; Flavobacteriia; Flavobacteriales; Flavobacteriaceae.
CUCAGGAUGAACGCUAGCGGCAGGCUUAACACAUGCAAGUCGAGGGGUAACAGGGUGCUUGCACCGCUGACGACCGGCGCACGGGUGCGUAACGCGUAUAGAAUCUGCCUUUUACAGGAGAAUAGCCUUUAGAAAUGAAGAUUAAUGCUCCAUAGUAUUGCGACUUGGCAUCAAGUUGUAAUUAAAGAUUUAUCGGUAAAAGAUGACUAUGCGUCCUAUUAGCUAGAUGGUAAGGUAACGGCUUACCAUGGCAACGAUAGGUAGGGGUCCUGAGAGGGAGAUCCCCCACACUGGUACUGAGACACGGACCAGACUCCUACGGGAGGCAGCAGUGAGGAAUAUUGGGCAAUGGAGGUAACUCUGACCCAGCCAUGCCGCGUGCAGGAAGACUGCCCUAUGGGUUGUAAACUGCUUUUAUACAGGAAGAAACACUCGUACGUGUACGAGCUUGACGGUACUGUAAGAAUAAGGACCGGCUAACUCCGUGCCAGCAGCCGCGGUAAUACGGAGGGUCCGAGCGUUAUCCGGAAUCAUUGGGUUUAAAGGGUCCGCAGGCGGUCAAUUAAGUCAGAGGUGAAAUCCCAUAGCUUAACUAUGGAACUGCCUUUGAUACUGGUUGACUUGAGUCAUAUGGAAGUAGAUAGAAUGUGUAGUGUAGCGGUGAAAUGCAUAGAUAUUACACAGAAUACCGAUUGCGAAGGCAGUCUACUACGUAUGUACUGACGCUGAGGGACGAAAGCGUGGGGAGCGAACAGGAUUAGAUACCCUGGUAGUCCACGCCGUAAACGAUGGAUACUAGUUGUUGGGCAUUAGCUCAGUGACUAAGCGAAAGUGAU